GCCAGUGUGGUGUAGUGGUUUUAGUGUUGGACUAUGACUCUGGAGCUCAGGGUUCGAUUUCUUGCCCAGCCA
This is a non-coding RNA of Phrynosoma platyrhinos (Desert horned lizard), 72 nucleotides long. NCBI's taxonomy places the organism in Eukaryota, Metazoa, Chordata, Lepidosauria, Squamata, Phrynosomatidae. The record is from the annotation of a GenBank genome assembly.